Molecule: unclassified non-coding RNA, 202 nt
Filed under: Hevea brasiliensis (rubber tree)
Lineage: Eukaryota; Viridiplantae; Streptophyta; Magnoliopsida; Malpighiales; Euphorbiaceae
Source: RNAcentral
CAUUGAAGGGCUUCUUAAAUCAAUACAUGUAUCCACAGGAGUCAAAUGUUAGUUCUAAACAUUGGGUGAAAACAGAAAACAAAAGUUAUCAGUUUCUGACCAGAUAGAUUGUAUUUAAUGCAGUGCGUCGCAUUAUUGACUCUUGUAAAGCAAUCAUUACCCUAUGUGGUAGCGAUGUAAGUAGGCAGUCUGUAGAAGUUAG